Molecule: ribosomal RNA, 520 nt
Filed under: uncultured Glomus
Lineage: Eukaryota; Fungi; Glomeromycota; Glomeromycetes; Glomerales; Glomeraceae
Description: SSU rRNA
Rfam family: Eukaryotic small subunit ribosomal RNA
Source: RNAcentral
AGCAGCCGCGGUAAUUCCAGCUCCAAUAGCGUAUAUUAAAGUUGUUGCAGUUAAAAAGCUCGUAGUUGAAUUUCGGGGUCAGUAGGCUGGUCGUGCCUCCGGUACGUACUGGUCUUACUGAUUCCUCCUUCCUGACGAACCGUAAUGCCAUUAAUUUGGUGUUGCGGGGAAUCUGGACUGUUACUUCGAAAAAAUUAGAGUGUUUAAAGCAGGCUAACGCUUGAAUACAUUAGCAUGGAAUAAUGAAAUAGGACGAUCGAUCCUAUUUUGUUGGUUUCUAGGAUUGACGUAAUGAUUAAUAGGGAUAGUUGGGGGCAUUAGUAUUCAAUUGUCAGAGGUGAAAUUCUUGGAUUUAUUGAAGACUAACUACUGCGAAAGCAUUUGCCAAGGAUGUUUUCAUUAAUCAAGAACGAAAGUUAGGGGAUCGAAGACGAUCAGAUACCGUCGUAGUCUUAACCAUAAACUAUGCCGACUAGGGAUCGGAUGAUGUUAAUUUUUAAUGACUCAUUCGGCGCCUUAC